UGAUUCUGAUGAUCCUAAUCAAACAUUGACAUAUUAAAACCUCAAGAUUGGCUAAAAUAGUGAAAAAGAGGGGAAAUAAUACCAAUCUGAUGAAAUAAUUGAACUCUUACAGCAUGGGUAAGAUAAGCAACAACUUUAUCACCAGUUCUGAAAUUUUUGACUCCUGCUCCAACCUCUAAAACCUCUCCUGCUACAUCAGUAGCUGGAAUGUGAGGGAAUCUGCGAGGCAAAAGAGGCCGAGACACACCCUUUUGAAUUUUCCAAUCAAAUGGAUUUACACUAAUCGCUUCUAACUUCAGCAAUACCUCAUCUUUCUUUGGAGCAGGGACUGGAACUUCCACAUGCUUUAGGCCAGCAGCUCCUCCCCCAUAACUAUCAUAUUGAACGGCAUGCAUUAGCUUCCCAGCCAUGUCCAGAAGAAGUAAAGUCGUUUAAAGAAAGAGUAGGAAGGAAGGAGAAGUAGAAGGCCUGAGUGGGAUGGCGGGAUUUUAUGGUGUGGCUAUGCAUUGCGGUGAUCAUCAUAGACACGGCAUUUGCA
This 538-nucleotide unclassified non-coding RNA is filed under the name Hevea brasiliensis (rubber tree). Lineage: Eukaryota; Viridiplantae; Streptophyta; Magnoliopsida; Malpighiales; Euphorbiaceae. The record is from RNAcentral.